GACGUAGGUGGCGAACGUUAUCCGGAAUCAUUGGGCGUAAAGGGUGCGUAGAUGGCUUGAUAAGUUAGCAGUGGUAAAUCGAGGCUCAACCUCGUGGAAGCUGGUAAUACUGUCAGGCUUGAGUGCAGGAGAGGUUAACGGAACUCCAUGUGGAGCGGUAAAAUGCGUAGAUAUAUGGAAGAACACCAAUAACGGCGAAGGCAGUUAACUAUUCUGCUACUGACAUUGAGGCACGAAAGCGUGGGGAGCAAAACGG
This 256-nucleotide ribosomal RNA is filed under the name uncultured bacterium. Its description in RNAcentral is "partial 16S ribosomal RNA". It matches the Rfam family "Bacterial small subunit ribosomal RNA", at positions 524 to 776 of the family's 1533-position model. The record is from RNAcentral.